Molecule: ribosomal RNA, 448 nt
Filed under: uncultured bacterium
Lineage: Bacteria
Description: bacterial SSU rRNA
Rfam family: Bacterial small subunit ribosomal RNA
Source: RNAcentral
GCCAGACUCCUACGGGAGGCAGCAGUGGGGAAUAUUGCACAAUGGGCGAAAGCCUGAUGCAGCAACGCCGCGUGAAGGAAGAAGGGUUUCGGCUCGUAAACUUCUAUCAACAGGGACGAAAGAAAUGACGGUACCUGACUAAGAAGCCCCGGCUAACUACGUGCCAGCAGCCGCGGUAAUACGUAGGGGGCAAGCGUUAUCCGGAUUUACUGGGUGUAAAGGGAGCGUAGACGGCGAUGCAAGCCAGAUGGGAAAGCCCGGGGCUCAACCCCGGGACUGCAUUUGGAACUGUGUGGCUGGAGUGUCGGAGAGGCAGGCGGAAUUCCUAGUGUAGCGGUGAAAUGCGUAGAUAUUAGGAGGAACACCAGUGGCGAAGGCGGCCUGCUGGACGAUGACUGACGUUGAGGCUCGAAAGCGUGGGGAGCAAACAGGAUUAGAUACCCGAGUA